GAUGAACGCUGGCGGCGUGCCUAAUACAUGCAAGUCGAGCGAACAGACGAGGAGCUUGCUCCUCUGACGUUAGCGGCGGACGGGUGAGUAACACGCGGAUAACCUACCUAUAAGACUGGGAUAACUUCGGGAAACCGGAGCUAAUACCGGAUAAUAUAUUGAACCGCAUGGUUCAAUAGUGAAAGACGGUUUUGCUGUCACUUAUAGAUGGAUCCGCGCCGCAUUAGCUAGUUGGUAAGGUAACGGCUUACCAAGGCAACGAUGCGUAGCCGACCUGAGAGGGUGAUCGGCCACACUGGAACUGAGACACGGUCCAGACUCCUACGGGAGGCAGCAGUAGGGAAUCUUCCGCAAUGGGCGAAAGCCUGACGGAGCAACGCCGCGUGAGUGAUGAAGGUCUUUGGAUCGUAAAACUCUGUUAUUAGGGAAGAACAAAUGUGUAAGUAACUAUGCACGUCUUGACGGUACCUAAUCAGAAAGCCACGGCUAACUACGUG
This 497-nucleotide ribosomal RNA is filed under the name uncultured bacterium. RNAcentral describes it as "partial 16S ribosomal RNA". It matches the Rfam family "Bacterial small subunit ribosomal RNA", at positions 28 to 507 of the family's 1533-position model. The record is from RNAcentral.